CUACCCACAGUUCCACACUAAUCCCCAUUAUCUCAUCUCGCGUCGCCCCGAUCCAAUCUUGCGCUGUCUCCUUCCUUUCCCCGUCUCGAUCCAAUCUGCUCGCAUCCCCUCCGCCGCUCCUCUCCAGCAGCCCCCACGCUCCCACUCCCGCCCCGUCCACCUCCGCCGCCCCAUCAUCGAUGCAACAACCACCGCCACCGCUGCCAUCGAGGCCCCGGAGGAAGCCGUUGCAGCACCGGUGGUGGAAGAGGCGCCGCCGACGCCGCCGACGCCGCAGGCAGCCGCGCUCGGUAGGAGCAGCCUCUGCACGGGAGAAUUCUCCACAUGAUCUGGUGACGCAAGCCGUCGACCCACCUGAAGAACUCCGUGUCGUGCGGCUGCUCUUCUGGACGCUCUCGGCGCUGCUCGUCCAUGGCGUGAUCUCCGCUGCCGCUGCCUCCAACCACGCCGACCUCUUGCUCCAGUUCUUCCAGUUGGCUUAUAGCUGGGUGGGUUCUGGGCUUCUGGCCGGAGCCAGCCACCGUGGCGUUCCUCUACCACGCCCGCUGCAUCCUCCUCGAGACCAUGCCGCCCUUCUCUGUUUCCCUGAUGAGGCCACGGUCGCAGGCAUUUUGGGGCGCUGCUCCCAUCCAAAUGCUUUGUUGUGGCGCUCCUCCUCUCAUUCUCUCCAUUUAAAUCUUUGAGCAGGAAAUCAAUGGCGCUUUCUCGCUGUGCAGGAGUGGACAUGUUCAGCGCGUGUGGGAUUUCUCAAGUUCAAAGCUGACAUCGUCGAUGAGAAGACUGAACGCAAGCAGGCUGAAGGUGGAGGAGGGCGUGGACGGGAUUUGGUCCCGGCAUUGCACUCGGAGAUGCUCUAAUAUUUAAGGAGUCCUUGUUUCUUAUAUUAUUAUUUUAUCACAUUGCCAUCAAAUUAAAAUGCUUGUUUGAGUAAAUAGCACAUAAUGUACUAGUAACUCUUUGCUACUACCAUUAUUGGCAAGUUUUUGUAAGUAAUCUUUCUAGUCAAGCACUUGUUUAUCAUCUAUAGUAAUCUUAAGUUUUGCCAUUUUUCUCUUCUGGAUUUUCUCAUCUUGUUUUCAUAGGCUUGCUGGCUGCGUCUUCUAUUUUACUUGGUACACUUGUUAGACCCCAAAGCGUUGAAAUCUUCAUUUUUUGUUAAUACAAUAUUUAAGGAGUACUACGUUACAGAAUCUAUUUUGUUAAUUUUUACCAUCAAUGCAAAGACAAACAUGUAUUUGCAUGCUAAUUUUGCUAAAGGACAGACCCAGUGCAUAGAAGCUCCCACACAAGGUGGGGUCUGGGGAGGGAUUAUAGGAACCUAGUCUUACCCCUGCAAAGUGCAAUGCAGAGAGGCUGGUUCGAACCCAGGACCUCUUGGCACAAGUGGGGAGGACUUCACCACUGCGCCAGGCCUGCCCUCUUGCAUGCUAAUUUUGCUACUUUAUUAAAUUCAUGUCUGUUUUAGAAAGUACAGAUGCGCAUGAAAAAUUGUUGCAUUGUCUAAGGUCCAAUUCCAAACGAGUUGAAGCAGAAUUCAUUUUGUUAGUUUUAUGACACAUGCUAGUAAGUAUUUUGCAAUUCAUUUAGUUCCACUCUUUUUCAUCUUGUAGGUUUAGGUACUACAAGCAUGCCACUAGCUCGGGAGAGUGAGAGGGAAAGGAGGGCAUUCCUCGCGGAACAUAAAUGCAUAGGUUGUGUGUAUGCUAAGCUAAGGGGGGCAUUGAUUACAUGUACUUUAACCAUUAUACCUCUAGCUCUAGGUUAUGCAUGUUAUCUUGUCAGUUUUCAUCUCAUUAUGAUGCAACGUUGUUGUGUUUGUCAUUUAUAGGCAUCGGGAGGAGUUAGCCGCAAGACCUGAAGCACAAGAGAGAGCAUUUGAAGCGAUACAAAAGAAGCAUCAAGAAGAAUUGGAAGCUCUAAAGAAGAUCCAACAAGAGAAGAAUGAAGCCUGGCAAAGAAGCAAAAGGAGACGUAUAAUCUGCUUGAUUUUCUCUUGAGGGAUCAAGUAGUCCCAAUCCAAACUAGAUGGUUCAUGAAAGCCAUCCUUACAUUGCAAUUGUCAGGACAACAUCUGUGGUCUUUACAACUAUUUUCAUCUUGUCUAUUGUCUGUCAAACUUGAGUCAGUUUUUUACCCUCAUUUUUGUUUACAGAAUGAUUUGGCUGAGACGAUUUCAUAUAUAAUACGAUUUGUCUUUCAUAUCAA
Long non-coding RNA from Triticum aestivum (bread wheat), 2205 nucleotides. RefSeq lists it as uncharacterized. The record is from RefSeq and is a predicted model, not a curated record. NCBI's taxonomy places the organism in Eukaryota, Viridiplantae, Streptophyta, Magnoliopsida, Poales, Poaceae. The transcript has 2 exons.